Molecule: ribosomal RNA, 206 nt
Filed under: uncultured Erysipelothrix sp.
Lineage: Bacteria; Bacillati; Bacillota; Erysipelotrichia; Erysipelotrichales; Erysipelotrichaceae
Description: partial 16S ribosomal RNA
Rfam family: Bacterial small subunit ribosomal RNA
Source: RNAcentral
AGCGCAGGCGGUUUAUCAAGUUUGUGGUUAAAGUUCGGGGCUCAACCCCGUGAUGCCACAGAAACUGGUAGACUAGAGUGCAGGAGAGGUGAGUGGAAUUCCAUGUGUAGCGGUAAAAUGCGUAGAUAUAUGGAGGAACACCAGUGGCGAAGGCGGCUCACUGGCCUGUUACUGACGCUGAGGCUCGAAAGCGUGGGGAGCAAAUA